Molecule: ribosomal RNA, 889 nt
Filed under: Amanita orientifulva
Lineage: Eukaryota; Fungi; Basidiomycota; Agaricomycetes; Agaricales; Amanitaceae
Description: eukaryotic LSU rRNA
Rfam family: Eukaryotic large subunit ribosomal RNA
Source: RNAcentral
CUAACAAGGAUUCCCCUAGUAACUGCGAGUGAAGCGGGAAAAGCUCAAAUUUGAAAUCUGGCAGUCUAUUUUUUCUUCUUUGGCUGUCCGAGUUGUAAUCUAGAGAAGUGCUUACCUGCACUGGACCAUGUAUAAGUCUCCUGGAAUGGAGCGUCGCAGAGGGUGAGAAUCCCGUCUUUGACAUGGACCGCCAGUGUGUUGUGGUGUGCUCUCAAAGAGUCGAGUUGUUUGGGAAUGCAGCUCUAAAUGGGUGGUAAACUCCAUCUAAAGCUAAAUAUUGGCGAGAGACCGAUAGCGAACAAGUACCGUGAGGGAAAGAUGAAAAGGACUUUGGAAAGAGAGUUAAACAGUAUGUGAAAUUGUUGAAAGGGAAACGCUUGAAGUCAGUUAUGUCGGCUAGGGAUCAACCUAGCUCUUUUGCUGGGUGAAUUUCCUAUUCUGACAGGCCAACAUCAGUUUCGACUGCUGGAAAAGAGCGGAGGGAAUGUGGCACCUUCGGGUGUGUUAUAGCCCUUUGUCAUAUGUGGCAGUCGGGACUGAGGGAUGCAGCGUGCCGCGAGGCUGGGUUUCGACCACGUUCACGCUUAGGAUGUUGGCUUUUAAUGGCUUCAAUCGACCCGUCUUGAAACACGGACCAAGGAGUCUAACAUGCCUGCGAGUGUUUGGGUGGAAAACCCUUGCGCGCAAUGAAAGUGAAAGUUGAGAUCCCUGUCGUGGGGAGCAUCGACGCCCGGACUUGAGCUUUUAGCGACGGAUCCGCGGUAGAGCAUGCAUGUUGGGACCCGAAAGAUGGUGAACUAUGCCUGAAUAGGGCAAAGCCAGAGGAAACUCUGGUGGAGGCUCGUAGCGAUUCUGACGUGCAAAUCGAUCGUCAAAUUUGGGUAUAGGG